UUGGGCCGAGUUGCUGUAGACCGUGGGCCGGGAGCAGUGGCAGCACUGGCAGGUGAUUGGGGCCCUUGGGAGCCAGCUCCACUCCCACCAUGCAGCACUGGAGCCCUGCCUGCCACCCAAGGCCAAGGAUUCCUGGCCAGCUGCAAGGCGACCAGAUGCCCCCUGGGGGACCUGUGACCUCUGCUGUGCCUGGUGGUUACCGUCCUGGGUCUAAGAGGUUUCUCCUGCCUUGGGAUAUCACCAUCACCCCAGAGUCAGCAGAAGGGAAGGGAAGAGAAGGGAAGGAAGAGGAAAGGUGGAGGAGGCAUCCCUUCUUACGUGUUUUUUUCUUUGGAGAGACAAAGUCUACCCCAUGGCCAGGGGUUCAUUCCUCCAGGAGGGGCAGGAGGCACAGGAAGAAGAGUAUGGGAGGAGCCACAUCUUUCCAAGAGGACAGAGGAUUCCUAGGAUCCCAGGUUCCUGGUCUGCCCCAGUACUCCCCACCCCCCUCCCGCCCAAAGAUCACAUGGACAAAGGCAACAAGUUCGUGUUAACCCAGUAACCACCUGCGGCACGUGAAGGUAUAUGUAAUGCAGAGCUGAAUGGGACAUAGAAUCUGUCCCCAAGGAGCUGAGAGCCAAAGCCUUGGCCACUUUGUCUGCUUGUGGCUCAUGUACCUGUGUCUUCGACUGAAAGUCACAAGAGAUUCUGGCAUGGGCUCUGCUGUGCACAGGGCACUCAGUAGCAUGCUUGGCACUUCAGCAUCGCUCCGUGAAUCUUUGUUGAAAGUAAAAGUUGUUUUUUUUUAAUCGGUACCGGGGGUCGAACUCAUGACUGCCUGCUUGCAAGGCAGGCGCUUAUGCUGCUGAGCUAAAUCCCCAGCCUCAAAAGUAAAAGUUUGAGAAAAGUGUUGCAAGAAAGGUUUCAUGUCUUUAUUCCUCAUCAUCAAAUUUCAGAGCCUGGAGCAUAGUGGUUGCUCCGACAACAUCAACUGAAAGAAAAAUUUAAAGAAUAAACAACAAAUGAGUGAGGGAGUGAGUGAAUAAAUGAAGCUUCUGGGAGCUGCAGGAAGAAUAAUUAGGUCUUGCUGGAGAAGGGGAUGUGAGGACAGAAAAGAAAGACCUGGUACUUGAAAGCUUCCUGCUGGGGGAUCUUCCGAAGGACUCUGUGAAGCCCUCUGAGGAGGUGAAAGAGCACCCCGUACAGCAAAAUCAAUUUUAAAAAUAUCUACAACGGUGCCUCAUGUGUGUCACUCGCCUGUGUUCCUGGCACUCUGGGAAACUGAGAUAGAAAGUUGGAAGUCUGAGCCCAGCCUGGGCAAUUUAGCAAUUUAGGGAGAUGUCUCACCAAAAAAAAAAAAAAAAAGAUAAAAA
Molecule: long non-coding RNA, 1352 nt
Organism: Cavia porcellus (domestic guinea pig)
Lineage: Eukaryota; Metazoa; Chordata; Mammalia; Rodentia; Caviidae
Exons: 3
Source: RefSeq, a predicted model, not a curated record